CAUGGAGGAAGGGAGUCCUUAGCCCAGAUUGCAAGAGGGUGCAGGCCAGGCCAAGGAACCCCAUCAGUGCAUG
This 73-nucleotide microRNA precursor is filed under the name Myotis davidii. RNAcentral describes it as "mir-9193 microRNA precursor family". It matches the Rfam family "mir-9193 microRNA precursor family". The record is from Rfam by way of RNAcentral. Lineage: Eukaryota; Metazoa; Chordata; Mammalia; Chiroptera; Vespertilionidae.